ACUCCUACGGGAGGAGCAGUAGGGAAUCUUCGGCAAUGGGGGGAACCCUGACCGAGCAACGCCGCGUGAGUGAAGAAGGUUUUCGGAUCGUAAAGCUCUGUUGUAAGAGAAGAGCGUUGAUGUGAGUGGAAAGUACAUCAAGUGACGGUAUCUUACCAGAAAGGGACGGCUAACUACGUGCCAGCAGCCGCGGUAAU
This 197-nucleotide ribosomal RNA is filed under the name uncultured bacterium. RNAcentral's name for it is "partial 16S ribosomal RNA". It matches the Rfam family "Bacterial small subunit ribosomal RNA", at positions 335 to 524 of the family's 1533-position model. The record is from RNAcentral.